AACGAACGCUGGCGGCAUGCCUAACACAUGCAAGUCGAACGAGACCUUCGGGUCUAGUGGCUCACGGGUGCGUAACGCGUGGGAACCUGCCCUUAGGUUCGGAAUAACUCCCCGAAAGGGGUGCUAAUACCGGAUAAUUUCUUCUGACCAAAGAUUUAUCGCCUUUGGGUGGGCCCGCGUUGGAUUAGCUAUUUGGUAUGGUAAAAGCCUACCAAGGCGACGAUCCAUAGCUGGUCUGAGAGGAUGAUCAGCCACACUGGGACUGAGACACGGCCCAGACUCCUACGGGAGGCAGCAGUGGGGAAUAUUGGACAAUGGGCGAAAGCCUGAUCCAGCAAUGCCGCGUGAGUGAUGAAGGCGUUAGAGUUGUAAAGCUCUUUUAACCGGGAUGAUAAUGACAGUACCGGGAGAAUAAGCUCCGGCUAACUCCGUG
Molecule: ribosomal RNA, 433 nt
Filed under: uncultured bacterium
Lineage: Bacteria
Description: partial 16S ribosomal RNA
Rfam family: Bacterial small subunit ribosomal RNA
Source: RNAcentral